GUGCUUGCUUCAAUAGCACAUAUACUAAAAUUGGAAUGAUAACAGAAGAUUAGUAUGGCCCCUGUACAGGGAUGACAUGCAAAUCGGUGAAGUGUUUCAUAAAAGA
Molecule: small nuclear RNA, 106 nt
Organism: Nycticebus coucang (slow loris)
Lineage: Eukaryota; Metazoa; Chordata; Mammalia; Primates; Lorisidae
Source: RefSeq, a predicted model, not a curated record